AGUUGGCGACGAAGAGCCACGGCGCGUCGUCAUGCACGAUCGACUGGACCUCGCCAUAGAGCUUGCCGCGUUCGGCCUGGUCGGUGGACCU
Molecule: small RNA, 91 nt
Filed under: Sinorhizobium meliloti 2011
Lineage: Bacteria; Pseudomonadati; Pseudomonadota; Alphaproteobacteria; Hyphomicrobiales; Rhizobiaceae
Description: putative ncRNA
Source: RNAcentral